Paramacrobiotus metropolitanus is the source of this 1068-nucleotide long non-coding RNA. RefSeq lists it as uncharacterized. The transcript is spliced from 3 exons. NCBI's taxonomy places the organism in Eukaryota, Metazoa, Tardigrada, Eutardigrada, Parachela, Macrobiotidae. The record is from RefSeq and is a predicted model, not a curated record.
UCGGUCAAUUGGUUCCGAGAUUGCGUAUUACGGUAGUCGAAAAGCACGUUGCUAAAACCCAUGGAAUCCCAAAACAGAAUCAAAGCAAUUAAUUUGACAGUUCCACGAGAGCCCCGAUUAUCUUUCUACCUGCGCAAAGGAGAGACCGAUUGAAUAUAUCAGCAGGAUGUCUUGUCCAUUUUGUCCCGACAACCUAAUCUGUGUUCUCUGAUGCAUCCUGAUCCGAUUUAGUUCUCAUACAUAUUUUCCUGACGUGCGCACUGCAGCGAAAUCCCUUGUAACAAACACUCAGAGCGCGGGUAAACGUCGAUGGAGCUGAUUGACUGGAUGGACCCUAUUACACCCAGUUCACUGGAAUGACCUCACAAAGAUUGGAGAAAUUGUGAAUGCCACUGUUGAUAUCGGGGCAGGAGAAUGGCUAGACGUUAGUAGGGUGGAUGCAAUUAUUUUGAUCUUUGUCACGAACAGUCCCAGCGGCACGUCGUUGUCUGACAUUAGCGGAUUCGGCGCACAACAAUGCACAUUAUAGACUGUGAUAGACUGUGAUUUUUCCACCCACCGGAGUCGGCGACAUAAUGCACACUACCACCAAACCAUGUCAACCACCAAAAAAGCUGAUUGUGCUAAAACGGAUUCCUUUUGCUCACAUCACGACCUCAAAGGGUAGCGCGAAGAAAAAGGAUAUCACAGGUUUUCACCAAAAGGGAGUCAUUGGAAUUACCGAUAAAUUAGUUUCCGGCGAACACUUCUCUUGAAGAAUCCACUACAUCCGUUACAUGCUAAGAUGCCGUAAUGUUUUCCGGAGGACGUGUCCCCGCAGACCAUACAGGCUAAUCCCGGACUUGAUCUGCAGCCAGCGACCACUUGAAGUGGCGAUGGUGUUCGAACAGCACUUACCGUUUCACCAUCUGCGAACAAAUUUGUCACGCUUUAACGCUUCGUUUUAAAUAAUCUAUUACGUUGAUGCCAAUUUCUUGUAAGCUGAUUAGUAAAAUGUGGAUCAUACAAUCCUUCUAAAAUAUUUUCAAUCAUUCCUGUUGUUUGAUUCCAUAUAUGUAUAUGCGAAGC